GACGAACGCUGGCGGCGUGCUUAACACAUGCAAGUCGAACGGAAAGGCCCUGCUUUUGUGGGGUGCUCGAGUGGCGAACGGGUGAGUAACACGUGAGUAACCUGCCCUUGACUUUGGGAUAACUUCAGGAAACUGGGGCUAAUACCGGAUAGGAGCUCCUGCUGCAUGGUGGGGGUUGGAAAGUUUCGGCGGUUGGGGAUGGACUCGCGGCUUAUCAGCUUGUUGGUGGGGUAGUGGCUUACCAAGGCUUUGACGGGUAGCCGGCCUGAGAGGGUGACCGGCCAGAUUGGGACUGAAAUACGGACCGGACUCAUACGGGAGACAGCAGCGGGGGAUAAUGCACAAUGGGCGGAAGCCUGAUGCAGCAACGCCGAGUGCGGGAUGACGGCGUUCGGGUUGUAAGCCGCUUGAGCCUGUGACAAAGCGUGAGAGACGGUAAUGGGUAAAGAAGCACCGGCUAACAACGUG
Molecule: ribosomal RNA, 468 nt
Filed under: uncultured bacterium
Lineage: Bacteria
Description: partial 16S ribosomal RNA
Rfam family: Bacterial small subunit ribosomal RNA
Source: RNAcentral